AGGACGAACGCUGGCGGCGUGCUUAACACAUGCAAGUCGAACGGUAAGGCCCUUCGGGGUACACGAGUGGCGAACGGGUGAGUAACACGUGGGUGAUCUGCCCUGCACUUCGGGAUAAGCUUGGGAAACUGGGUCUAAUACCGGAUAUGACUACGAAUCGCAUGGUUUGUGGUGGAAAGCUUUUGCGGUGUGGGAUGGGCCCGCGGCCUAUCAGCUUGUUGGUGGGGUGAUGGCCUACCAAGGCGACGACGGGUAGCCGGCCUGAGAGGGUGUCCGGCCACACUGGGACUGAGAUACGGCCCAGACUCCUACGGGAGGCAGCAGUGGGGAAUAUUGCACAAUGGGCGCAAGCCUGAUGCAGCGACGCCGCGUGAGGGAUGACGGCCUUCGGGUUGUAACCUCUUUCAGUAUCGACGAAGCGCAAGUGACGGUAGGUACAGAAGAAGGACCGCAACUACGUGCCAGCAGCCGCGGUAA
This 477-nucleotide ribosomal RNA is filed under the name uncultured bacterium. Its description in RNAcentral is "SSU rRNA". It matches the Rfam family "Bacterial small subunit ribosomal RNA", at positions 26 to 523 of the family's 1533-position model. The record is from RNAcentral.